RNAcentral lists this non-coding RNA (30 nucleotides) under Mus musculus (house mouse). Lineage: Eukaryota; Metazoa; Chordata; Mammalia; Rodentia; Muridae. The record is from RNAcentral.
UCAGAAAUAACAACUGGUGCACAGGGCCUG